GACGAACGCUGGCGGCGUGCCUAAUACAUGCAAGUCGAACGCUUCUUUUUCCACCGGAGCUUGCUCCACCGGAAACAGAGGAGUGGCGAACGGGUGAGUAACACGUGGGUAACCUGCCCAUCAGAAGGGGAUAACACUUGGAAACAGGUGCUAAUACCGUAUAACAAUCGAAACCGCAUGGUUUUGAUUUGAAAGGCGCUUUCGGGUGUCGCUGAUGGAUGGACCCGCAGUGCAUUAGCUAGUUGGUGAGGUAACGGCUCACCAAGGCGACGAUGCAUGGCCGACCUGGGAGGGUGAUCGGCCACAUGGGUACUGAGACACGGCCCAAACUCCUACGGGAGGCAGAAGUAGGGAAUCGUCGGCAAUGGACGAAAGUCUGACCGAGCAACGCCGCGUGAGUGAAGAAGGUUUUCGGAUCGUAAAACUCUGUUGUUAGAGAAGAACAAGGAUGAGAGUAACUGUUCAUCCCUUGACGGUAUCUAACCAGAAAGCCACGGCUAACUACGUGCCAGCCGCCGCGGUAA
RNAcentral lists this ribosomal RNA (524 nucleotides) under uncultured bacterium. RNAcentral's name for it is "partial 16S ribosomal RNA". It matches the Rfam family "Bacterial small subunit ribosomal RNA", at positions 28 to 523 of the family's 1533-position model. The record is from RNAcentral.